GGACAUGGCUCAGUGGUACAGCACUUGCCUAGCAAGUACAAGGCUCUGGAUUCAAUUCCCAGCACCA
This 67-nucleotide transfer RNA is filed under the name Marmota monax (woodchuck). Its description in RNAcentral is "tRNA.Ala". The record is from RNAcentral. Lineage: Eukaryota; Metazoa; Chordata; Mammalia; Rodentia; Sciuridae.